GGGAAGGUGGCCUAGUCCGGUAUGGCGACGGGCUCCAGACUCGUAAACCCCGGGGUUCGCCCCAGGUUGAGUAGCGAGCGUGGGUUCAUGCUGCUUGGUUUCCAAGUGGCAGCCUAGAAAUCCCAUCCUUCCCACCA
RNAcentral lists this transfer RNA (137 nucleotides) under Promethearchaeota archaeon. RNAcentral describes it as "Candidatus Lokiarchaeota archaeon (microbial mat metagenome) tRNA-Trp". The record is from RNAcentral. Lineage: Archaea; Promethearchaeati; Promethearchaeota.